AAGAAGACAAACUCUGGUUUCCGUGUCUAACUUUGACUGUCCGUUUUAUAUGAAAUUUUUUAUAACUUAUAUUUUCAUUGUUGUUAGAUGAUAAAACAUGAUUAAUAUUUUAUGCGUGACUUGUCUUUUUAAUUUUUUUCAUCAAUUUUUCAAAUAAGACGGACGGUCAAACGUUGGAUACGGAAAACAAGGUUUGUCUUUUUU
This is a non-coding RNA of Oryza glumipatula, 204 nucleotides long. The record is from Rfam. NCBI's taxonomy places the organism in Eukaryota, Viridiplantae, Streptophyta, Magnoliopsida, Poales, Poaceae.